This 221-nucleotide long non-coding RNA is filed under the name Pelobates cultripes (western spadefoot toad). The record is from RNAcentral. Lineage: Eukaryota; Metazoa; Chordata; Amphibia; Anura; Pelobatidae.
GGAGAAGGAGGAUCGGGCUGCUUUCUUUUUGUAUUGAGGUAGACUAAAUAAAGUGCUGGUACUGGAUCAGAGGUUAUAGGAGGUGGGAACAGCCGAGGAGAGCAUUUUGUUUAGGUAGGGUGGGAGUUUCCCAGAAAAGCUCUUAAACACAAGGCUGGAAAGAUGAAGGGUGCGUCUGGAUUCCAGCGACAGACAGUUUAGUUCUUUUAGCAUGCCACAAU